RNAcentral lists this ribosomal RNA (467 nucleotides) under uncultured bacterium. RNAcentral's name for it is "partial 16S ribosomal RNA". It matches the Rfam family "Bacterial small subunit ribosomal RNA", at positions 28 to 507 of the family's 1533-position model. The record is from RNAcentral.
GACGAACGCUGGCGGCGUGCUUAACACAUGCAAGUCGAACGGAAAGGCUCCAGCUUGCUGGAGUACUCGAGUGGCGAACGGGUGAGUAACACGUGGGUAAUCUGCCCUGCACUCUGGGAUAAGCCUGGGAAACUGGGUCUAAUACUGGAUAUGACCUUUCUCCUUAUGGGGUUUGGUGGAAAGUUUUUCGGUGUAGGAUGAGCCCGCGGCCUACCAGCUUGUUGGUGGGGUGAUGGCCUACCAAGGCGACGACGGGUAGCCGGCCUGAGAGGGUGAUCGGCCACCUUGGGACUGAGAUACGGACCAGACUCCUACGGGAGGCAGCAGUGGGGAAUAUUGCACAAUGGGCGGAAGCCUGAUGAAGCGACGCCGCGUGAGGGAUGACGGCCUUCGGGUUGUAAACCUCUUUCAGCAGGGACGAAGCGUAAGUGACGGUACCUGCAGAAGAAGCACCGGCUAACUAUGUG